GACGAACGCUGGCGGCGUGCUUAACACAUGCAAGUCGAACGGAAAGGCCCUGCUUUUGUGGGGUGCUCGAGUGGCGAACGGGUGAGUAACACGUGAGUAACCUGCCCUUGACUUUGGGAUAACUUCAGGAAACUGGGGCUAAUACCGGAUAGGAGCUCCUGCUGCAUGGUGGGGGUUGGAAAGUUACGGCGGUUGGGGAUGGACUCGCGGUUUAUCAGCUUGUUGGUGGGGUAGUGGCUUACCAAGGCUUUGACGGGUAGCCGGCCUGAGAGGGUGACCGGCCACAUUGGGACUGAGAUACGGCCCAGACUCCUACGGGAGGCAGCAGUGGGGAAUAUUGCACAAUGGGCGGAAGCCUGAUGCAGCAACGCCGCGUGCGGGAUGACGGCCUUCGGGUUGUAAACCGCUUUCGCCUGUGACGAAGCGUGAGUGACGGUAAUGGGUAAAGAAGCACCGGCUAACUACGUG
Molecule: ribosomal RNA, 468 nt
Filed under: uncultured bacterium
Lineage: Bacteria
Description: partial 16S ribosomal RNA
Rfam family: Bacterial small subunit ribosomal RNA
Source: RNAcentral